This is a non-coding RNA of Homo sapiens (human), 147 nucleotides long. It matches the Rfam family "Metazoan signal recognition particle RNA". Rfam says of the family: The signal recognition particle (SRP) is a universally conserved ribonucleoprotein. The record is from Rfam. Lineage: Eukaryota; Metazoa; Chordata; Mammalia; Primates; Hominidae.
GCUGGGUGUGGGGUGCACACCUGUAAUCCCAGCUACUCAGGAGGCUGAGGCAGAAGAAUCGCUUGAACCCAGGAGGUGGAGGUUGCAGUGAGCUGAAAUCGUACCACUGCACUCCAGCCUGGGUGACAGAGUGAGACUCUGUCUCAA